AUUGAACGCUGGCGGCAGGCCUAACACAUGCAAGUCGAACGGUAACAGGAAACAGCUUGCUGUUUCGCUGACGAGUGGCGGACGGGAGAGUAAUGUCUGGGAAACUGCCUGAUGGAGGGGGAUAACUACUGGAAACGGUAGCUAAUACCGCAUAACGUCGCAAGACCAAAGAGGGGGACCUUCGGGCCUCUUGCCAUCGGAUGUGCCCAGAUGGGAUUAGCUAGUAGGUGGGGUAACGGCUCACCUAGGCGACGAUCCCUAGCUGGUCUGAGAGGAUGACCAGCCACACUGGAACUGAGACACGGUCCAGACUCCUACGGGAGGCAGCAGUGGGGAAUAUUGCACAAUGGGCGCAAGCCUGAUGCAGCCAUGCCGCGUGUAUGAAGAAGGCCUUCGGGUUGUAAAGUACUUUCAGCGGGGAUGAAGGGAGUAAAGUUAAUACCUUUGCUCAUUGACGUUACCCGCAGAAGAAGCACCGGCUAACUCCGUG
RNAcentral lists this ribosomal RNA (490 nucleotides) under uncultured bacterium. RNAcentral's name for it is "partial 16S ribosomal RNA". It matches the Rfam family "Bacterial small subunit ribosomal RNA", at positions 30 to 507 of the family's 1533-position model. The record is from RNAcentral.